ACUUGUUUAUCAAAUUGUUUACUGCUUGUUUUGUCUCUUGAAAAUGUAGACGCUCCGUUUUUAAUUGAACAAUACAAACCGUAUAAUAAAUAUGCAAAUAAAUGUUGGAAAAAGCAUGAUUAAGCGCAAAACAACUUAAGCAUAAAAUUAAAUAAACAAAACCGAAGAAUAAAGGCUUGUAGCUUUUGAAAGCGUCAAGAGAAUAGAAACCAGCACAGUACAACCUCGAAACGGUACUGACAUCUAGCUGAGGAUACGAGUGAAUCCGUACCAAUCGCGGCGCACUUGGCUGGCGAAUGUUUGUCCCUGUCACCGUAGCGGUCGGUUGUUGCCGCAGCGACGAUUUCGAAUCGUGCCGGUAGUGAGAGCCUAGUGAGUUUCGGUUGGAUACCUUGGCUUGAUUUUCUUUAUUGGCUUUUGUAUUUGCGCUUGUGUAGAUAUGUGUGUGUGGUGUUUGUAUGUUUGCUGUUAAUUGGCUGAUGGAGUCACCGGUCGGUCAGAGACGCUGCCCACUGCGAUUACAAAUUUGCGAAGUUCGUAGGUAUGCUUUAAGGGAAAUUGUAUUGGUGCACGAAAAUGAGAUAUGUAUUACGGUAAGCACAAUGUUUUGACUAUCGCGUACUUUUAUUUUUAGUAAAGAACCGUUGUUAAGGGAUAGCCUCACGGAUACAUUUGCACGGCAGAUUACAUAAGACGCGUUGAGGAAAAACCGCGAUUUGUUACUUGUAGUAUAGACGCCCGCUCGAAUUGACGGCGAUUCGUUUUCUUAUAAAUAAUUACCACACAAUAAUUUUCGAUUCCAUUACGUAGUUGUUAUUUGUACUGCUGGACUUUUCGCCACGGGCGUUGGACGGAUUAUAAUGGGCUCGCGGCAAACACACACGGAUGGUAGUGAUUGCUUGCUUGGGGUUGCGACACGAAUAUGGAUGGAUAAAUGGAUCGCAGUGAAAUGUAAUGCAGUGCAGUGUAAAGAAUGCUGCCACAGUACGUCGGCGACAAUUAAUACGACGACGUCGACGACACUGCUGACGCGCACGAACAACGUGCGAGCGCAAGUGGGAGCAUUAUUCAGUGGGAGCUUUUACAUUUCGCACAUAUUAGCCAUGCUUGCUUUCCUCGUUUCUUCUGGAGAGCGUAUAGCAAGAGAGAGUGGGAGACUUACAGUGUUCUAAUGCACUGAAAUGUGGUGCUUAUGUUCAAUAUGUAUGAACUUGUAGAAUUCUUAGAGUUUUUGUAGCUCAAACGGAUGAAGAAUAAAGAGCUUAAGUUUCGUCUAAAACAGAGUCUUUAAUUAGGAGUAUAAUCAUAUAGCAGGCAUUUCUAAAAACUUAUAAAAUCUGGGAUUGGGGAACCCCCAGUAAUACCGAAAGAUACUAUGGUAAGUAUAUUUGAAUAAUGACCGAUAUAAUUUAGUCUGUCACGUGGUUGACAUACAGUCGUAAAAUUAAAAAAAAAAAAAUAUAAAUAUGUUAGAUAUUAAAGAAGUUA
Zeugodacus cucurbitae (melon fly) is the source of this 1488-nucleotide RNA transcript. RefSeq lists it as uncharacterized. The record is from RefSeq and is a predicted model, not a curated record. Lineage: Eukaryota; Metazoa; Arthropoda; Insecta; Diptera; Tephritidae. The transcript has 2 exons.